Molecule: non-coding RNA, 201 nt
Filed under: Methyloceanibacter methanicus
Lineage: Bacteria; Pseudomonadati; Pseudomonadota; Alphaproteobacteria; Hyphomicrobiales; Hyphomicrobiaceae
Source: RNAcentral
UAUAGUCGGAGCGCCGAUGGUUCCCGCGCUCCGCGGGAUAAAUGAAGGGAACACGGUGAGGGAUUUCCCAAUUCCGUGACUGCCCCCGCAACUGUAAGCGGCGCACAUCCCUCUCUUGGUCACUGGAACGAGGGCUCCAGACGACCGAGAGGAUGGAUGGAGCCGCAAAGUCAGGAGACCUGCCGCGGCGCCAACCUUGAA